GGAGGGCCGUCGUUGGGUCCCACCUCCUCCGACUUCGCCUCGUCCACUCCACCACGCCGCCGAAAGCCGCAACUCUCCACCGCCGGCUCGGCGUCGGCGUCCGAGACCGAGUAGUAAUCCACAGAUCUCCUCCUCCUGUUCUUCUCCUCCAAGAAAGAAAUCUUGAAAGCCCCCCAACACCAGCCGACCCCUAACUCGAUCUCGUCUCCGUAUAUACACUGAUCUCCCUCCCGCCGCGAGUGUAGCAGCAGCUCCGCCGCCGCGGUGAGCACCCCGCACGGCACAUCCUCUGGCGCCCUUUUCCCACGCAAUUUUGGGGUUGAGUUGAGUUACUAGAGAUUUUGGUUGCGACCUAGGGUCCGGGAGUUAGUUUGCGAUGCAUCUAUAUGAACAAGGAGCGAUCAUGUCUUCUAUGGAAUCAUCUUGCCUUCCUGCAACCACUGAGUCAAUAGCGAAGGCUCAGGAAGCUAAAGACGCUUCGGAGUCCAUUUCAAUCCUUUACCGUGUUCUACAAGACCCGUCAUCUUCUGCAGAGGCUCUGAGAACCAAGGAACUUGCAAUUACAAAUCUUACCAACUACCUCACUAAAGAGAACCGGGCUGAGGAGCUGCGAAACCUUCUAACCCAGCUCAGGCCUUUUUUCUCGUUGAUUCCCAAGGCAAAGACUGCAAAAUUGUCCGUGGAAUCAUCGAUGCUGUUGCCAAGAUAAUAGGAACAUCUGAACUUCAGAUCUCACUCUGCAAGGAGAUGGUUGAAUGGACCCGUGCUGAGAAGCGGACAUUCCUUAGGCAGCGUGUGGAGGCAAGGCUAGCAGCCCUUCUGUUAGAGAAUCAGGAGUACACUGAUGCUCUUACUCUCCUUACUGAUCUUAUCAAGGAAGUCAGGAGGCUUGAUGACAAGUUGCUUCUUGUGGACAUUGAUCUUCUGGAGAGUAAACUCCACUUUUCUCUGAGAAACCUGCCAAAGGCCAAAGCUUCAUUGACUGCUGCUAGAACAGCAGCGAAUGCCAUUUAUGUUCCACCAGCACAACAGGGUACUAUUGAUAUACAGAGUGGAAUCCUUCAUGCUGAAGAAAAGGACUACAAGACUGCUUACAGCUACUUUUUCGAAGCAUUUGAAGCAUUCAGUGCCCUGGAGGACCCAAAGGCCAUCUUCAGCUUGAAGUACAUGCUCCUGUGCAAGAUAAUGGUUAACCAAGCUGAUGAUGUCGCAGGAAUAAUCUCAUCUAAGGCUGGUUUGAAGUAUCUGGGUCCUGAUGUUGAUGCUAUGAAAGCUGUAGCUGAUGCCUACUCAAAAAGAUCUCUCAAGUACUUUGAAACUGCCCUUCGUGAUUACAAGUCUCAGCUGGAGGAGGACCCUAUUGUGCACAGGCAUCUUUCAUCUCUGUAUGAUGCCCUCCUGGAGCAGAACCUGUGCAGGCUGAUUGAGCCGUACGCAAGGGUGGAGAUUGCACAUAUCGCGGAGAUGAUUGAGUUGCCAGUUGAUCAUGUUGAGAAGAAGCUGUCGCAGAUGAUCCUUGACAAGAAGUUUGCAGGAACUCUCGAUCAAGGUGCUGGCUGCCUCAUUAUCUUUGAGGAUCCCAAGACCGAGGCAAUCUUCCCUGCUACACUUGAAACUAUUUCGAAUGUUGGGAAGGUCGUUGACAGUCUUUACAUGAGGUCUGCCAAGAUCAUGGCUUAAUGUCUUUACAGUCAUUUGCGUUUACUUGUUAUCUCUAAUUUCAUCUUGCUUCAGUUACUGUUGGUCUUCAUAGACAUUUAAUCCUGCAUAUUGACAUUUUUAUUCUGCAUGUUGAUCUCUCCUAGUUAAAGAAAAGGUACCCUCUUGAAUGCCAACAAAUACAAUUUGGUGUUUCUUACUUCGUAUGGUGCAACUGUGCUAGUACCAUAAACAUAACCUGAUGCCUAGGUUAUAUUUGUUAUGUCAACUUAUUUUGUCUUUAAUGUCAGGCUAGCUUAUUUACGAUCUUAUGAUGUUACAAUGCACAUGGAUGGCUAUCAUUUUGCUGGAAAGAGAGAGAUGAACAGGUUGGAUGGCUAUCAUUUUGCUGGAAAGAGAGAGAUGAACAUGUGAAAAUUGUGAUGAACUGCCUUGUCAAAGCUUUCCAGAGAGAAACAUGUGAAAAUUGUGAUGAA
This is a non-coding RNA of Oryza sativa Japonica Group (Japanese rice), 2135 nucleotides long. The record is from RefSeq and is a predicted model, not a curated record. Lineage: Eukaryota; Viridiplantae; Streptophyta; Magnoliopsida; Poales; Poaceae.